AGCGGGCACCAGGCUUGGGGGCUGAGGCCCAGCGGCCCGAGACCAACUGGGCUGACCGAGGCCGCCUCCCCGCCAGCCCUGGGGUCCACUGCCCGGGGAGCAGCUCCCUUCCCAGGUCAGACUCGGGCUUCAUCCUCUCUUGCCGCGCGCCGAGCGGUUUUCAACUCUCACUGCUAGAAUUCCUCCAACCACCCAGGAUAGCAGGACCGAGAUACAUGGCCACCCAUGACCCGGAGCGUCCACUUCCAGGGACAGGCAGUGGUGAUUGGCUUCGGUUGUCAUCUGUGCCAUCUGUCCAUGGUUCGAGAAGCUGCUGUUCACGUUUUGGGGAGGAUCAUGGUUUGAGGGCUCCCGUGGUAGAAUUUGGGGAGCUCUCAUAGGCAGAAGGCUGAGAAAAGUUGGUGCUGUGGGAAGUCAACUGGCAGCCGAUGGAGUCGGGACCCGGGAGGAAUGGAAAGGGAACCCAGAUAGGAAGCUACUGCAGUAGGCUCAGAGAGGUGAUGACGGCAGGGCUAAGACAGCGGCCUUGGGCGGUGACUGGGAAGAACGUUGAACACCGUGUUUGGGCUGAAGAAAAGAGCAAGGGAAGAGUCCUUCAGCGGGGUCUGCACACCUGAUGGCCUGGAAUUGGGCUGGCCCUCGGCAAUCCUGCCCACCCUGUGGGCAAGUAAAAAUUAUACAGUGAAACACAUUCAUCUUGAGUACAAAUCAGUGGGUUAUGACAAAUGUCUGCAUCUGUGCCUAAGCAGUACCCUGAGGAGGACACUGAACGUUUCCAUCAUCCAAAAAGUUCCCCAUGCUGUUUGCCAUUCGCCCUCACCCUCCGGCCCCAGCAAGCCCUGUUGAGUCUCAUCGGAGUUCCUUCCUCCACCAAGGGAUAGAAACUCACCUGAUUGCUGCAUGCAGACACUGACACUCCCGACCCCUCAUUCGUCACAAUUGAUGCCUUACUCCUGCCUGAUUGCUGUCUUCCUGCUCAUAAUUAAAUUCCUUCCCCCCGCUAUAUAAUGCCUCCGGCUUUAGUCAGCUGGAGAGAGGGAUUUGAGACUGAUCUCCUGUUCUCUUGGGCUGAUGUCAACCAUAAUAUAAUAAAGUUUUCUUCCCCG
Long non-coding RNA from Homo sapiens (human), 1106 nucleotides. Ensembl annotates it as long intergenic non-protein coding RNA 2175. The record is from Ensembl. NCBI's taxonomy places the organism in Eukaryota, Metazoa, Chordata, Mammalia, Primates, Hominidae.